GUGCUCAAUCCAGCGGUACAUAUACUGUGAUUGGAACAAUACAAAGAUUAGCACGGCCCCUGAGCAAGGAUGACAUGCAAAUUUGUGAAGCGUUCCAUAGUUUU
Nycticebus coucang (slow loris) is the source of this 104-nucleotide small nuclear RNA. The record is from RefSeq and is a predicted model, not a curated record. NCBI's taxonomy places the organism in Eukaryota, Metazoa, Chordata, Mammalia, Primates, Lorisidae.